RNAcentral lists this long non-coding RNA (2743 nucleotides) under Homo sapiens (human). RNAcentral's name for it is "HSALNT0322136". Lineage: Eukaryota; Metazoa; Chordata; Mammalia; Primates; Hominidae. The record is from RNAcentral.
AUCAGGAACCAUGGCUCACUGGAGCACCAUCUUUGGAGUCUAGCUAACACAGCAUCUUGGAUGCACUCCUAAGAGAAGACUACCUGAAAGGCGUGUACACUGGUCUAGCAGUUGAGAUCAGCUAGUGUUCCAUCUAUCUUCUGUCAUGUGGAGGAGUUCUUGCUCUGUCACCUAGUCUGGAAUGCAAGGGCACAAUCAUAGCUCACUGCAGCCUCAUACUCCUGGACUCAAAUGAUCCUCCUGCCUCACCCUCCUGAGUAGUUGGGACUACAGGCAUGUGCCACCAUGCCUGGCUAAUUUAUUUUUAUUUAUUUUUAUUUUUUUAGAGAUGAGGUCUUUUUAUAUUGCCCAGGCUGGUCUCAAACUGGCCUCAAGCUAUCCUACUGCCUCAGCCUCCCGAGUAGGUGGGAAUAUUCUAAAUAUUUUCUUCCAGCUAUUUUGAAAUAUACAAUAAAUUAUUGUUAUUAAUAGUUGCCCUACCAUGCUAGCAAACACUAGAACUUAUUUCCUUUAUCUAACUGUAUUUUUGUGCCCAUUAACCAACCUGUCUUCAUCCCCUAAUACUCUGUACUCUUCCCAGACUCUGUUGCUCUAAUUCUUAAGCCUGUUUCCUCUUUUGAUAAACCUAAACGCUCAAGGCUUUCUUAAAGACAGGACUUUUCUCCCUCUGAUCCUGGAAAUUAUGAAAAGAGCUGCCACUAAACCUCCCACUGGAAAUCACUGACCCAUGCUACAUGCAGACUUCCUUUGCAUCUGGGCUCACAACAUAUUCCUAUUUCUUUCAUCUUAACAUGGCAAUGGUGAGAAGAGGCAAGGAAUAAAAACCUAAAGGAGAAAAGAGACAAGUAAAAUAAUAGAUUUUCUCCAAAACUUACCAAAGAGAUGACUAAACCCAUUGAUUUCACCUGUAAGCAUCCCCAAGAUAAAGAUCUCUUCCAAGCUGCAGACAGCUUUUUUCUCCUUGCACACCGAUUUCAGGGUCCUUGCACACUGAUUUCAGGGAAUUUGUAAUUCAAAAGAGAAUUAAACACUUUUGAAGCAGGAUACCAAAAUAAAAAAUGUAAAGAGAAAGCAGGCUACAUGGAGGAAAGCACAUUUAAUGCUGAUAAUUAGCAUCUAAAAACUGGAUACCUUAGUUCCUUGACAUCAAGUUUUCUGCUUGACCCAAAUGAUAACUUGUUCUCCUAGGGGUUGAAGUAGAUUAGAGCAAGAAAGUUGUAAAAUUAACAGUGGUAAAAACAGAGACAUUGCAAACAAUGUUCUCUUUGCUUUUUAAUGAAAACAUUCUAAGCAUUUAAAUGGUUAAAAAAAUGCUAGUUAUAAGCAUGUCUUCCUUUAUAGCUUAUGUCUUUCCUUGGGGCAUAUUCUGUUCAUUUUGCUUACUUGUUCUCUGGUCUGCAGUUUUAUACAACAAUUCACCACAGAGAUCCCUGGGUUAAGUAGUGAGGGAAAUCAUUCUACCUUAAGCAUGUUAAGUUUGGAUGAAGGCACAGAAAUCUAGAAGAAAUCGAAACUUACAAUUGUGCUUAAUUGGCUUUAACCCUUCAACAUAUUGUGUAGAAGUACAUUGGGUAAUAACAUAUACUGUUUCACUGUGCAUACGUUAAAAUGUGAAAUCCUUUAAAUGCAAACAGCACUUGUCACUCCAUCAACUAUUCAAAUUGUCAGAGAUGUAUCAACUAACCCUAGCUACCCUCUGCAGGCGAUCUGGAGCCAGCCUGCUGUUUAAUAACCAGCAUUUAACAAGAAAUAACAUGUAGAUGUGGUGUGUGGUUUAAAACAUUGUGUUAAGCAUCAUUAAAACUCAGUCUCCUAAGAGCCUUAUUAAGAGUCCUUUCCUCACCAUAAUAAAACAUUUCUCUGUGACUGUUUCGAUCUAGUUGCUAACAAUACAAACAAAAUGCCUCUUAAUUUAACAUCCCACUAGAGGGCCAUUGUGAUUGUAGAACUGUAAAGGCAGGGAGAAAAAAAAAACCUAAACCACCCUUCCCAAGUCCCACCUAAAAUCAGUGAAACGGAAGCACUGGGAGCCGUUGAUUUUAGGAUUUAUUUUUACAGUUUUUUCCCCUUUCCUUUCACUCGGUGUGUGGUUAUUAUUUGGGGCUGUGUCUUUGUUCAGUACUAUUAUGGAAGUUUGCCGAUGACUUAGAAAUGGGCCCUGCCUCACGGAGUCAGCAAUACCAGUUGUUGGAUGGGCUGGUGCUGUUCCCAAGACAAUGCGUACAUGAAACUUCUAUAAAAAUUCAUGUGAUCUUGAUGCUAACAUUUAUUUGAAAAGAAAAUGAAAUUUGCUUACCCUACAAUUAGCCUGAAGUUCUCUCAUCCUGUUAUUACACAAGAAAAUACAUGCAUAAUUGUGUCAAUUAAUAGAGAUAGUAAUUCAAAUCUUCUGUGACAGAAACACAGAACAAUCCAAUUCUGUUUCAGAUCUUCCUCCUUUGAAAAUGUGUAUGCCAGUUUUCUUGGCACAACUAUCCUCACUGCUGUAUAGACAGUUACAGAGUUAACAAAAUCGACAAACCACAAAAAUAUUUUGAUAGAGGAUGCUAACAAAUUAGAUUUAGGGGAAUCUCAUUCUAAUAUUUCAAUCUAUUGAAUAGUUCUGCUAAGCCUGCAAUAUGUAAAGUGAGUCAAGUGAAAAUAUUUUAAGUGACCAGUUGAUUGAACUUGACCUUUGCUUUCUUUUGAAAUGGACCACCAAGAAAGAAGAAAGUAUUUUAUCUCAUUUUUAGUUAAUCUUGCC